RNAcentral lists this ribosomal RNA (367 nucleotides) under uncultured bacterium. RNAcentral's name for it is "bacterial SSU rRNA". It matches the Rfam family "Bacterial small subunit ribosomal RNA", at positions 527 to 896 of the family's 1533-position model. The record is from RNAcentral.
GGAGGGUGCGAGCGUUGUCCGGAUUUAUUGGGUUUAAAGGGUGCGUAGGUGGCUUUAUAAGUCAGUGGUGAGAUACGGUUGCUCAACAAUCGAGGUGCCAUUGAUACUGCAAAGCUUGAAAUAAUUGGAGGCUGCCGGAAUGGAUGGUGUAGCGGUGAAAUGCAUAGAUAUCAUCCAGAACACCGAUUGCGAAGGCAGGUGGCUACGAUUUGUUUGACACUGAGGCACGAAAGCAUGGGGAGCAAACAGGAUUAGAUACCCUGGUAGUCCAUGCUGUAAACGAUGAGGACUCGCUGUUUGAUGGCAACAUUGAGCGGCUUAGGGAAACCGUUAAGUCCUCCACCUGGGGAGUACGCCGGCAACGGUU